RNAcentral lists this ribosomal RNA (367 nucleotides) under uncultured bacterium. Its description in RNAcentral is "bacterial SSU rRNA". It matches the Rfam family "Bacterial small subunit ribosomal RNA", at positions 28 to 396 of the family's 1533-position model. The record is from RNAcentral.
GACGAACGCUGGCGGCGUGCUUAACACAUGCAAGUCGAGCGGUAAGGCCCUUUCGGGGGUACACGAGCGGCGAACGGGUGAGUAACACGUGGGUGACCUGCCCUCAGCUCUGGGAUAAGCCCGGGAAACUGGGUCUAAUACCGGAUAUGACUCCAUGACGCAUGUUGUGGGGUGGAAAGCCUUGUGCGGCUGAGGAUGGGCCCGCGGCCCAUCAGCUCGUUGGUGGGGUGAUGGCCUACCAAGGCGACGACGGGUAGCCGGCCUGAGAGGGCGACCGGCCACACUGGGACUGAGACACGGCCCAGACUCCUACGGGAGGCAGCAGUGGGGAAUCUUGCGCAAUGGGCGAAAGCCUGACGCAGCGACG